UCCGCCGUCCCUCACCGAUCUUUGAUGUUUUUCCUCUAGAUCUUUCAAGUUUUUCAUUUGUUUUAACUUUGUUUUGAAAAUUUGAGCUUUUGAGCAAAGUUUUGGAGCUUGGAGGUUCAAGAACCCAAUCUCUCCCACCUCCGAGUUUUAGGUCGUCUCUCUCUCGAUCUUCAAGAGGUAAGAGCCGAUCUUAAGCUUAUUAUAUGUUUUAAGUAAGU
RNAcentral lists this long non-coding RNA (218 nucleotides) under Manihot esculenta (cassava). RNAcentral's name for it is "long non-coding RNA (MESC_LNC001960)". Lineage: Eukaryota; Viridiplantae; Streptophyta; Magnoliopsida; Malpighiales; Euphorbiaceae. The record is from RNAcentral.